AUUGAACGCUGGCGGCAUGCCUUACACAUGCAAGUCGAACGGCAGCGGACCUUCGGGUGCCGGCGAGUGGCGAACGGGUGAGUAAAGUAUCGGAACGUACCUUUCAGUGGGGGAUAACGUAGCGAAAGUUACGCUAAUACCGCAUCUUCGGUGAGCAGGAAAGCAGGGGAUCGCAAGACCUUGCGCUGAUUGAGCGGCCGAUAUCAGAUUAGCUAGUUGGUGAGGUAAAGGCUCACCAAGGCGACGAUCUGUAGCGGGUCUGAGAGGAUGAUCCGCCACACUGGAACUGAGACACGGUCCAGACUCCUACGGGAGGCAGCAGUGGGGAAUUUUGGACAAUGGGGGCAACCCUGAUCCAGCCAUGCCGCGUGAGUGAAGAAGGCCUUCGUGUUGUAAAGCUCUUUCGGCCGGGAAGAAAUCGCUUAGGUUAAUACCCUGAGUGGAUGACGGUACCGGAAUAAGAAGCACCGGCUAACUACGUGCCAGCCGCCGCGGUAA
This 498-nucleotide ribosomal RNA is filed under the name uncultured bacterium. RNAcentral describes it as "partial 16S ribosomal RNA". It matches the Rfam family "Bacterial small subunit ribosomal RNA", at positions 30 to 523 of the family's 1533-position model. The record is from RNAcentral.